AGAGUUUGAUCAUGGCUCAGAUUGAACGCUGGCGGCAGGCCUAACACAUGCAAGUCGAACGGUAACAGGAAGAAGCUUGCUUCUUUGCUGACGAGUGGCGGACGGGUGAGUAAUGUCUGGGAAACUGCCUGAUGGAGGGGGAUAACUACUGGAAACGGUAGCUAAUACCGCAUAACGUCGCAAGACCAAAGAGGGGGACCUUCGGGCCUCUUGCCAUCGGAUGUGCCCAGAUGGGAUUAGCUAGUAGGUGGGGUAACGGCUCACCUAGGCGACGAUCCCUAGCUGGUCUGAGAGGAUGACCAGCCACACUGGAACUGAGACACGGUCCAGACUCCUACGGGAGGCAGCAGUGGGGAAUAUUGCACAAUGGGCGCAAGCCUGAUGCAGCCAUGCCGCGUGUAUGAAGAAGGCCUUCGGGUUGUAAGUACUUUACAGCGGGGAGGAAGGGAGUAAAGUUAAAUACCUUUGCUCAAUUGACGUUACCCGACAGAAGAAGACACCGGACUAACUCCGUGCCAAGACAGCCGCGGUAAUACGGAGGGUGCGAAGCGUUAAUCGGAAUUACUGGGCGUAAAGCGCACGCAGGCGGUUUGGUUAAGUCAGAUGUGAAAUCCCCGGGCUCAACCUGGGAACUGCAUCUGAUACUGGCAAGCUUGAGUCUCGUAGAGGGGGGUAGAAUUCCAGGUGUAGCGGUAAAAUGCGUAGAGAUCUGGAGGAAUACCGGUGGCGAAGGCGGCCCCCUGGACGAAGACUGACGCUCAGGUGCGAAAGCGUGGGGAGCAAACAGGAUUAGAUACCCUGGUAGUCCACGCCGUAAACGAUGUCGACUUGGAGGUUGUGCCCUUGAGGCGUGGCUUCCGGAGCUAACGCGUUAAGUCGACCGCCUGGGGAGUACGGCCGCAAGGUUAAAACUCAAAUGAAUUGACGGGGGCCCGCACAAGCGGUGGAGCAUGUGGUUUAAUUCGAUGCAACGCGAAGAACCUUACCUGGUCUUGACAUCCACAGAACUUUCCAGAGAUGGAUUGGUGCCUUCGGGAACUGUGAGACAGGUGCUGCAUGGCUGUCGUCAGCUCGUGUUGUGAAAUGUUGGGUUAAGUCCCGCAACGAGCGCAACCCUUAUCCUUUGUUGCCAGCGGUCCGGCCGGGAACUCAAAGGAGACUGCCAGUGAUAAACUGGAGGAAGGUGGGGAUGACGUCAAGUCAUCAUGGCCCUUACGACCAGGGCUACACACGUGCUACAAUGGCGCAUACAAAGAGAAGCGACCUCGCGAGAGCAAGCGGACCUCAUAAAGUGCGUCGUAGUCCGGAUUGGAGUCUGCAACUCGACUCCAUGAAGUCGGAAUCGCUAGUAAUCGUGGAUCAGAAUGCCACGGUGAAUACGUUCCCGGGCCUUGUACACACCGCCCGUCACACCAUGGGAGUGGGUUGCAAAAGAAGUAGGUAGCUUAACCUUCGGGAGGGCGCUUACCACUUUGUGAUUCAUGACUGGGGUGAAGUCGUAACAAGGUAACCGUAGGGGAACCUGCGGUUGGAUCACCU
This 1539-nucleotide ribosomal RNA is filed under the name Escherichia coli B7-2. RNAcentral describes it as "bacterial SSU rRNA". It matches the Rfam family "Bacterial small subunit ribosomal RNA". Lineage: Bacteria; Pseudomonadati; Pseudomonadota; Gammaproteobacteria; Enterobacterales; Enterobacteriaceae. The record is from RNAcentral.